RNAcentral lists this ribosomal RNA (433 nucleotides) under uncultured bacterium. RNAcentral describes it as "partial 16S ribosomal RNA". It matches the Rfam family "Bacterial small subunit ribosomal RNA", at positions 29 to 507 of the family's 1533-position model. The record is from RNAcentral.
AACGAACGCUGGCGGCAUGCCUAACACAUGCAAGUCGAACGAGACCUCCGGGUCUAGUGGCGCACGGGUGCGUAACGCGUGGGAACCUGCACUUAGGUUCGGAAUAACUCCCCGAAAGGGGUGCUAAUACCGGAUAAUGUCUUCUGACCAAAGAUUUAUCGCCUUUGGAUGGGCCCGCGUUGGAUUAGCUGGUUGGUAGGGUAAAAGCCUACCAAGGCGACGAUCCAUAGCUGGUCUGAGAGGAUGAUCAGCCACACUGGGACUGAGACACGGUCCAGACUCCUACGCGAGGGAGCAGUGGGGAAUAUUGGACAAUGGGCGGAGGCAUGAUCCAGCACUGCCGCGUGAGUGAUGAAGGCGUUAGAGUUGUAAAGCUCUUUUACCCGGGAUGAUAAUGACGGUACCGGGAGAAUAAGCACCGGCUAACUCCGUG